This 432-nucleotide ribosomal RNA is filed under the name uncultured bacterium. RNAcentral's name for it is "partial 16S ribosomal RNA". It matches the Rfam family "Bacterial small subunit ribosomal RNA", at positions 29 to 506 of the family's 1533-position model. The record is from RNAcentral.
AACGAACGCUGGCGGCAGGCCUAACACAUGCAAGUCGAGCGAGGACUUCGGUUCUAGCGGCGGACGGGUGAGUAACGCGUGGGAAUGUGCCCUUCUCUACGGAAUAGCCCUGGGAAACUGGGAGUAAUACCGUAUACGCCCUUUUGGGGAAAGAUUUAUCGGAGAAGGAUCAGCCCGCGUUGGAUUAGGUAGUUGGUGGGGUAAUGGCCUACCAAGCCGACGAUCCAUAGCUGGUUUGAGAGGAUGAUCAGCCACACUGGGACUGAGACACGGCCCAGACUCCUACGGGAGGCAGCAGUGGGGAAUCUUAGACAAUGGGGGCAACCCUGAUCUAGCCAUGCCGCGUGAGUGAUGAAGGCCUUAGGGUUGUAAAGCUCUUUCAGCUGGGAAGAUAAUGACGGGACCAGCAGAAGAAGCCCCGGCGAACUCCGU